GAAUGUGAGGGCGAUGUGGCUGCGACCUCUGUCACCCCACUGAUCGCCAGGGUUGAUUUAACUGAUCUGGCUGGCUAGGCAGGUGUCCCCUUCCUCCCUCACCACUCCGUGUGUGUCCCUCAUAUAUUGUGAUUGGUUAAAGUGAUUUAGAUUUCUUUGUAUUUAUGAAUUGUCUUCUUCCUGUUCUCUGCUGUGAAGGAAGCUGAGUAACUCUUGGGUAGUCCUAGAGUUGUUAACUGCAUUCCAGUAUACUUCUUAUGAAUUUAUAAUUAGAUUUGGAAACUUGAUCAAAUUCACAUCUUU
This is an unclassified non-coding RNA of Ochotona princeps (American pika), 303 nucleotides long. Its record names the gene 7SK. It matches the Rfam family "7SK RNA". Rfam says of the family: 7SK was discovered as an abundant small nuclear RNA in the mid-70s but a possible function has only recently been suggested. NCBI's taxonomy places the organism in Eukaryota, Metazoa, Chordata, Mammalia, Lagomorpha, Ochotonidae. The record is from Ensembl.